Molecule: ribosomal RNA, 788 nt
Filed under: Pseudomonas putida
Lineage: Bacteria; Pseudomonadati; Pseudomonadota; Gammaproteobacteria; Pseudomonadales; Pseudomonadaceae
Description: bacterial SSU rRNA
Rfam family: Bacterial small subunit ribosomal RNA
Source: RNAcentral
GUCGAGCGGAUGAGAAGAGCUUGCUCUUCGAUUCAGCGGCGGACGGGUGAGUAAUGCCUAGGAAUCUGCCUGGUAGUGGGGGACAACGUUUCGAAAGGAACGCUAAUACCGCAUACGUCCUACGGGAGAAAGCAGGGGACCUUCGGGCCUUGCGCUAUCAGAUGAGCCUAGGUCGGAUUAGCUAGUUGGUGAGGUAAUGGCUCACCAAGGCGACGAUCCGUAACUGGUCUGAGAGGAUGAUCAGUCACACUGGAACUGAGACACGGUCCAGACUCCUACGGGAGGCAGCAGUGGGGAAUAUUGGACAAUGGGCGAAAGCCUGAUCCAGCCAUGCCGCGUGUGUGAAGAAGGUCUUCGGAUUGUAAAGCACUUUAAGUUGGGAGGAAGGGCAUUAACCUAAUACGUUAGUGUUUUGACGUUACCGACAGAAUAAGCACCGGCUAACUCUGUGCCAGCAGCCGCGGUAAUACAGAGGGUGCAAGCGUUAAUCGGAAUUACUGGGCGUAAAGCGCGCGUAGGUGGUUUGUUAAGUUGGAUGUGAAAGCCCCGGGCUCAACCUGGGAACUGCAUCCAAAACUGGCAAGCUAGAGUACGGUAGAGGGUGGUGGAAUUUCCUGUGUAGCGGUGAAAUGCGUAGAUAUAGGAAGGAACACCAGUGGCGAAGGCGACCACCUGGACUGAUACUGACACUGAGGUGCGAAAGCGUGGGGAGCAAACAGGAUUAGAUACCCUGGUAGUCCACGCCGUAAACGAUGUCAACUAGCCGUUGGAAUCCUUGAGAUUUUAGU